Molecule: unclassified non-coding RNA, 339 nt
Filed under: soil metagenome
Description: partial contains 5.8S ribosomal RNA, internal transcribed spacer 2, and large subunit ribosomal RNA
Rfam family: 5.8S ribosomal RNA (bases 1-120)
Source: RNAcentral
GAUGAAGAACGUAGCGAAAUGCGAUAACUAAUGUGAAUUGCAGAAUUCAGUGAAUCAUCGAGUCUUUGAACGCACAUUGCGCCCCCUGGUAUUCCGGGGGGCAUGCCUGUCCGAGCGUCAUUGCCGCCCUCAAGCACGGCUUGUGUGUUGGGCUCCGUCCCCCCGGGGACGGGCCCGAAAGGCAGCGGCGGCACCGAGUCCGGUCCUCGAGCGUAUGGGGCUUUGUCACCCGCUCUGUAGGCCCGGCCGGCGCCAGCCGACAACCCAUCAUCCUUUUCAGGUUGACCUCGGAUCAGGUAGGGAUACCCGCUGAACUUAAGCAUAUCAAUAAGCGGAGGA